AGACCCGAAACCCGGUGAUCUAGCCAUGGGCAGGUUGAAGGUUGGGUAACACUAACUGGAGGACCGAACCGACUAAUGUUGAAAAAUUAGCGGAUGACCUGUGGCUGGGGGUGAAAGGCCAAUCAAACCGGGAGAUAGCUGGUUCUCCCCGAAAGCUAUUUAGGUAGCGCCUCGUGAAUUCAUCUCCGGGGGUAGAGCACUGUUUCGGCUAGGGGGCCAUCCCGGCUUACCAACCCGAUGCAAACUGCGAAUACCGGAGAAUGUUAUCACGGGAGACACACGGCGGGUGCUAACGUCCGUCGUGAAGAGGGAAACAACCCAGACCGCCAGCUAAGGUCCCAAAGUCAUGGUUAAGUGGGAAACGAUGUGGGAAGGCCCAGACAGCCAGGAUGUUGGCUUAGAAGCAGCCAUCAUUUAAAGAAAGCGUAAUAGCUCACUGGUCGAGUCGGCCUGCGCGGAAGAUGUAACGGGGCUAAACCAUGCACCGAAGCUGCGGCAGCGACACUGUGUGUUGUUGGGUAGGGGAGCGUUCUGUAAGCCUGUGAAGGUGUGUCGUGAGGCAUGCUGGAGGUAUCAGAAGUGCGAAUGCUGACAUAAGUAACGAUAAAGCGGGUGAAAAGCCCGCUCGCCGGAAGACCAAGGGUUCCUGUCCAACGUUAAUCGGGGCAGGGUGAGUCGACCCCUAAGGCGAGGCCGAAAGGCGUAGUCGAUGGGAAACGGGUUAAUAUUCCCGUACUUGGUGUUACUGCGAAGGGGGGACGGAGAAGGCUAUGUUGGCCGGGCGACGGUUGUCCCGGUUUAAGUGUGUAGGUGUGUGUUCCAGGUAAAUCCGGUUCACUUUAACACUGAGGCGUGA
This 856-nucleotide ribosomal RNA is filed under the name Salmonella enterica. RNAcentral describes it as "partial 23S ribosomal RNA". It matches the Rfam family "Bacterial large subunit ribosomal RNA", at positions 711 to 1566 of the family's 2925-position model. The record is from RNAcentral. RNAcentral also lists the same sequence under 1 other name. Lineage: Bacteria; Pseudomonadati; Pseudomonadota; Gammaproteobacteria; Enterobacterales; Enterobacteriaceae.